GGAGAGGUGCCGGAGUGGUCGAACGGGACGGACUCGAAAUCCGUUGUGCCCGUAAGGGCACCGUGGGUUCGAAUCCCACCCUCUCCGCCA
Molecule: transfer RNA, 90 nt
Filed under: Desulfobulbaceae bacterium
Lineage: Bacteria; Pseudomonadati; Thermodesulfobacteriota; Desulfobulbia; Desulfobulbales; Desulfobulbaceae
Description: tRNA-Ser
Rfam family: tRNA
About the family: Transfer RNA (tRNA) molecules are approximately 80 nucleotides in length. Their secondary structure includes four short double-helical elements and three loops (D, anti-codon, and T loops).
Source: RNAcentral